CGAAAAUUAUUUCCGAUUUCAAAGGGAUUUUAUUUAUUACGGUACAGGGGGUUGAACUUGGGGUGCUCUACCACUAAGUUACAUCCCCAUUCCCCUCCCUUUUUUUUGAGACAGGGUCUCACUGAGUUGCCUGACCUGGCCUUGAACUUGGAUUCCUCCCGCCUCAGCCUCUCAGUAGGUGAAGUUACAGGCAUGAGUCGUCUCACCCAGCUUCAAAGAGAUUUUAGAGGGAAGAUAACUGCUGUUUUAGAACCUGCUAUGUGCCAACCACGCUAUCAGUGAGCCACUUCCCUUCACCACACUCUUCUGCCAUGAUGUUCUGCCUCACCUCGAGCCCUGAGGAAUGGAGCCAGCUGUCUAUGGGCUAAGACAUCUGAAACCGACAGUUGCUCUUACCUGCUGCUUGAGUGCCUCCAAGGACUCAAAUUCCAAUCUGGCCAGUUUCAUCUGGAUAUGUCGUGGUUUAUCAGGUAUGGCAAAUGCAAGUAUAAACUUUAAAGCCAGGAGUGCAU
Molecule: long non-coding RNA, 512 nt
Organism: Marmota monax (woodchuck)
Lineage: Eukaryota; Metazoa; Chordata; Mammalia; Rodentia; Sciuridae
Exons: 3
Source: RefSeq, a predicted model, not a curated record